UAAUGUUAAAUACAUAAUUUAAUUUCUCAUCAAGUCACAUAUUAUCAUCAAAUAAAGUUUAAACAUUUAAAUCAAACUAAAAAAAAAAGAACAACAAAAAGAUGAUAGAAUCCAAGAAUUAUAAUCUUGAUCUUCUAAAUCUUCUUGAAUCCUUCAAAUUCUUCUCAAGUUCAAUAACUUUGUAGCUUGAUUCUCAACUCUUAAUUUG
RNAcentral lists this long non-coding RNA (208 nucleotides) under Theobroma cacao (cacao). RNAcentral's name for it is "long non-coding RNA (TCAC_LNC002868)". The record is from RNAcentral. Lineage: Eukaryota; Viridiplantae; Streptophyta; Magnoliopsida; Malvales; Malvaceae.